Long non-coding RNA from Panicum virgatum (switchgrass), 3412 nucleotides. RefSeq lists it as uncharacterized. NCBI's taxonomy places the organism in Eukaryota, Viridiplantae, Streptophyta, Magnoliopsida, Poales, Poaceae. The transcript has 6 exons. The record is from RefSeq and is a predicted model, not a curated record.
CCGGCCCGCACUGGUGCGUCGCCUUAAUUGCGGCCGGCGGAGUCAGGGAGGCUCACGCCUUCGCCAGUUCGUCUACGCCCCCGGCCAUGGGUUCCUCCGACAACCAUGGUGCGAGGAUGCUGCUGCCCUUUUCCUCGCACAAGCAGCGCAUCCCCGACCCCGACGAGCUCUUGGGGGGAUCGCGGCCGACGGCGCUGCUAGUCGGCCUGUCCGGCGGCAAGGUCUGGCGCGCCGAGGUCUCCCGGGACGGCGACGGCGCGUUCCUGGGGCGCGGGUGGCCGGAGUUCGCCGCCGCGCACGGUCUCGCCGCGCCGGCGCGGGGUGGUUCUUGGCGGUCCGGCACCACGGCGGCGGCGUGCUCACCGUCAAGGCGUUCGACGCCAGCCGAUGCCUCUGGGAGGUCGGCGCUCCGGCUGCUGGUAAAUCAAAAAAAAAAAAAAAUCCUCACAUGCCAUUGGUAUCAACGGUGAUCGUGAUUCGAGACUUUGGCCGGAUAAUAUCAUGCUCUAUUACUUGUAUUUCUCCCCAUUUGUACUUCUACGAAAUAAAGCCAACUCCCUUUUCCUCAUUUUGUCUAUUGCGAAUAAACCCUAUCAAGUGCCCAAUUUUUCUCAAAUUCUAUGGAAAUCUGCAGGUUUUCCUGCAAAAUUCCUAUGACAUCCUUGUCUUUCAGAUCGCUCAAAAAUGCAAAUUCCGUUCAAUUCCAUUCAAAAAUGCAAUUUUCACCCUCGAACUAUCGCAAAAGUCCAAGGUACUUAUACCAAAUUGUGAUCUGUUGGUUUCUAUUUUUUCCAAAACUAUUCGGUGUAGCCACUUAAUUAGUUGUUUUUUCAGUUCAAACUAAUUGUUGAUGGCCAUAUUUUGUCCAUUUGAAGCAACAAGGAUCGGCAAAGUCCCUUCACAUAAGCCACAGUUCAUUAGUUUGUUUCAGCCUGAUAAUUUCACGAAAAGAUAGUUUGGGAAUUCUUCAUGCUAGUUUGUUUCCACACUUUGUUUCGCACAAUGGAAUGAUCAGACUUCACCUUUUUUGUUCCUAAUGUAUUCUUGCAGCCAAUACAUACUAAUUUUGUGCAACGCUGCAUCCCGCACCUAAACAAUCGAAUUGCUGUCAUUGUCAGCCCACUUGGCAAAUUUUGGCCCGUUGGCUUGAGGUGAACCAGUCAGGCAUGUCGUUCGCAGGUGGUUGGUCAGAGUUUCUCUCGUUUCAUGGCAUCACUGAAGGAAAUGUUCUUCUGUUAAAGUAUCAGAGCAACAUGGUGUUCACUGUCAAAUUUUUUGGUCCGGACGGAUGCCAGAUACAAUCGAAACACAAGGAAACAAUAAUUCAACAAAGUCAGCAAAAGCUAAAUCAGAUUUUCUCUGUAUUUAUGCAUCUGUUAAAAAAAUGAUUGAAUGUGUAGUUAGAUAAUAAAAUGCAAUGUCUUUUGUUUGUCUUAUGAAGCUCCAACACUACCAGAUACUGAAAAGCAACGUGAGCCAACAUCAGCUUCUGAAAAGAAACGUAAGAGCAAGAAUGAUAGGUCAAGCAGUGAAGGACUGAAGAGACCAAAAGGAUCCAUGACUUCUUUGGAUAUGGCAAUAUGGCAUCAUUGCGGAGGAAAUCUGUCUAUGAGAUUGAGCCACAGUCAUGGAUAAAGGACAUAAAUAAGAACACACUUGAAAAUAUCUUGUAAGCACAUUAUUUCCCUAUCGAGUAAGAUAAACCUUUUUGAACCUUUAAAAGAACAUGAGCUGACAAUUUACUAGGCUACAGCGUACCAAUUUAAACAAGCUUGCUUUGCAUUAUCAGGAACAGAAACCAACAUGUUCAUUUGGUGCUCUAAGUAAUUACAAUAUGUGCUUGAUAACAAGAACAAAACAAUGAAACAUUGUAGUACUUUUUUUUAUAUAACCAGUCUUGUAUAUUGUCCCAGAAGAAGCAGAUUUAUGGUCUAGCACUCAGAAUUCAUCCGGUGUGAAAAAACUGAAAACGUGCCGUUCACUGCUUACUGAAACAAAUGUGAUUGCAAGUUUUCAGUCUUUGGCAGCCAGUAUGAAAAAACUGAAAAUGAGUCAUUUGACUGCUUACUGUAACCAAUGUGAUUGCAGUUUUUGCAGUCUUUGGCAGCAGCCUUCUGCAAUGCGAUUGGGCUAUGGGAACCUUGCAUGAUCACGCUGAAAAACUCAAUGAACAGCACCAGGUCUUGGCAGGUGCGUUCUAACCCGUACAAGCAUUGCAGCUACCAGAUUGGCUCGGGUUGGAAGAGGUUCUGCCAGGAUAACAGACUCAAGCAAGGUGAUGUCUGCACCUUCAAUGUCAUAGAAACCAAUCUGUGGCAUGUUGAUAUCAUGCGUGAUGUUCAAACUCAGCAAGAGUGUUCUUCCAGCAUGAAGAAUGAGCGCAGGAACAACAGUUCAGGUUGUGAAGGACAAAAGUGGCCAAAAGGAUCCAUGAAUUCUUUGAACAAGGCAUCAUACAACCGAAAUGUGUCUAUGAGAUUGGCCCGCCGUCUUGGAUAAAGAAGGAGAUCAACACCAGCACAUUUGAUAACAGUCUCUCUUUGGCUCCAGCGUUCUGUGAUGCAAUUGGGUUCCGGAAGCCUUGUACAAUCACGCUCAAGAGUUCAACAAACAACAUCAAGUCUUGGCAGGUUUGUGGUUCCCCAUACAAUAAUAGCAGCCAUAAGCUUGGGUCAGGCUGGAAGAGGUUCUGCAAGGAUAAUAAGCUGAAGAAAGGAGAUGUAUGCACCUUCAAUGUCAUCAAAACCUUGCUGUGGCAUGUUGACAUCUCACGGUAUACUCAAAAGCAACAGGAAGCAUCUUCUAGUAGGAAGUGUAGGAAAAAGAAUGACAAGCCAAGUUGUGAAGGACAGAAGAGGCCCAAAGGUUCCAUGAGUUUGAACAGGGGAUCAUCAUCCACGAAAUCUAUAAGCUUGGGCCACCCUCAUGGAUAAAGAAGGAGAUCAGCAUCUAUGCACUUCAAAAGCAUAUUUCUUUGGCAGCAACAUUCUGCAACGCAAUUGGGUUCCGAGGACAUUGUACGAUCACACUUAAGAUGGCACUGGAUAGCACCAAGUCUUGGCAGGUUCUUUGUCUCCUGUACAAACACAACUGCCAGAUUCGAUUGGGCUGGAAAUUGUUCUGCCAGGAGAACAGGCUUAAGGUAGGCGACAUCUGCACCUUCAAUGUCAUCGAAACCACACUGUGGCAUGUCAUCAUAGAUCGUCGAUGAGCAUUGACCAUAUAGCACAUCUGUUUUUCUGUUGCUUUUUGUCAAAAGCACUGGAUGUUAUUUGCAUAUUUGGUUGUAUACAAGAUUUUCUGUAAGUUGACUUUCAUUCUUGUGUGUCUAACUUGAACACUUGAGGAGCAGUCUGCUGAUGUCAAUGUUAUUUAUGUGGGUAUUUAAAGUUAUCUGCUUAACAGAAUGAAA